CACAGACAGACACGCCAAAAUAGCUGCCGCGUCUCUGUCGGAUCUCGUCUGUUUAUCGAUCUCACUUCAGCUCAGAAUCCCAUUCCGCUACUGCUGUCCCAUAUGAAGAGGGGGAAAGAAAGCACUCCCCGACCACGCACAUUCACACCGAAGCCUUCUUCAACUUACUCGCUGACCAGCUUUUUCGCAGCGGAAGAUGAGUGAUAAAGAUAAAAAGGCCGCCUACCCCGGCCAAACCUGGACGACGCUGUUUCUCCACCGACUAUUGGAUAAAGGGAACCGUGAGGUGUUAACAACACUCGGUGGAGACUAAAGAUUCUGACUGCCAAUAUGUCCAGCCUGAGACAUGCCCUUAACACUCGAACCGCUGGGCCUUGAGGGAUGCCCCUUCAGAAGCGCUGGGCCUCGGGGGACGCCCUUUCAAGUUAAAGAGCAGUCAUUCUGAUUGCUGCAUUCUUAGUGUAAUUAAUAAAUGUCAUGUAUGCUAUUGCAAAAAUAAUAAUUUGGUUGUGUUUAUGAAGGACUUGGGUAAUAUUAAAAUAAUGUUUAUUUUAUUUCAAAUAACACGAUAGCCUUUUCAUUAGUUUAUGUUACUGUAGGCUAUAUGUAAAAACAAAAAACACCAAAAUUCAAGUGUCAAUUUUAUUCAUGAGUGCCUUUGUUACAACUAUGAAACAGAAAGCAUAUGUGUUGGAACACGGUAACAGUUUAUUUUUAUAACGACAAAAUGUCGAUGUUUAUGACAAAAACGUUAUGUUGUGUAAUGGUCUGGGUGUAGCUGGUGCAGAGGAGUCAGGCGCAGGACAGUAGAGAUGAGUAACACAAGUAACUUUACUCAAAUAUUCCAAUAACAUGUCGUAAUACAGAGCCCACAAUAACGGACCGAACAUACAUAAAACAAUCGCGCACAAAAACCAUGGGGAAAACAGGGUUAAAUAAUGAACAUGUAAUUGGGGAAUUGAAACCAGGUGUGUAAAACAAAGACAAAACAAAUGGAAAAUGAAAAGUGGAUUGGCGAUGGCUAGAAGGCCGGUGACGUCGACCUCCAAACGCC
Molecule: long non-coding RNA, 1054 nt
Organism: Oncorhynchus tshawytscha (Chinook salmon)
Lineage: Eukaryota; Metazoa; Chordata; Actinopteri; Salmoniformes; Salmonidae
Source: Ensembl